CCUACGGGAGGCAGCAGUGGGGAAUAUUGGGCAAUGGGCGCAAGCCUGACCCAGCAAUGCCGCGUGAAGGAAGAAGGCUUUCGGGUUGUAAACUUCUUUGACAGGGGAAGAGCAGAAGACGGUACCCUGAAAACAAGCCACGGCUAACUACGUGCCAGCAGCCGCGGUAAUACGUAGGUGGCAAGCGUUGUCCGGAUUUACUGGGUGUAAAGGGCGUGUAGCCGGGAAGGCAAGUCAGAUGUGAAAUCUGGAGGCUCAACCUCCAAAUUGCAUUUGAAACUGUUUUUCUUGAGUACUGGAGAGGCAGACGGAAGUCCUUGUGUAGCGGUGAAAUGCGUAGAUAUAAGGAGGAACAACAGUGGCGAAGGCGGUCUGCUGGACAGCAACUGACGGUGAGGCGCGAAAGCGUGGGGAGCAAACAGGAUUAGAUACCCCGGUAGUC
Molecule: ribosomal RNA, 442 nt
Filed under: uncultured bacterium
Lineage: Bacteria
Description: partial 16S ribosomal RNA
Rfam family: Bacterial small subunit ribosomal RNA
Source: RNAcentral